Molecule: long non-coding RNA, 933 nt
Organism: Passer domesticus (house sparrow)
Lineage: Eukaryota; Metazoa; Chordata; Aves; Passeriformes; Passeridae
Exons: 3
Source: RefSeq, a predicted model, not a curated record
GCAAUUGGAAAAUCUCGGGUGGCUGUGCUAAGGACAGAGAGCCGGAGGAAAUGGGCCCGCGGGGCUCUGGAGCGGAGCCAGCCCGGUUUGUUUUGUGUGCUGAGCUUUGGGAGCAGCCAGGUGGGAUCUUCCUCACAGUGGGAUGUCUCCAGGGGGCCACUGCAGCUCUGGUCAGGAAUCCUGUGCUGUUGCUGGGAUUUGAAUCCUUCCUUUGGGAAACUUGGCCCUCCCAGAGCAGUCUCAUCUGAGCAGUCAGCCUCUGCUCAGCCUGGGUUCCCUAUUCCCUCCAUCCCUUCCAUUUUCCAGCCCUGGGAUGGUCCAGGACCAGCAGAGCUCCAGUCCAGCCCCUGCCCAGAUGUUACUGGGUGAGGAGCUGAUUCCGGGUGAUGGGUAUCAGACAUCAGGAAUAAAAUAAAUCCAAGCAAAAAUCAGACUUUCAAUCAGGCUGGAUCACCAGGAACCAUGAGCACUCCCACUCUGUCACGAUGUCUGGAGCAAUAAACCUCGGAUUCUCCCAAAGCGAGCAGACCAAGUUAAUUUGAUGUGGACAGGACCAUUGUGAGGGGUCAGCUGGGUGUUAACAGCAGAAUCAGGGUUUUAUUUUGCUGCUCUACACGGGCUCCAUUAUCCCUUCGUACAGGAACUGAGUUUAAUCACAUCUGGCAGACCUGCUGCCUGUAAUGUGUCCCAAUAUCCCAUUACAUUUUCAAUUUACAUGUAUUACCUUUCCCUGGAAAAGUUCCCUGCACUUCUGUCCGCGGAAUUAAAUGGCCAUUAUGAAAACAGAGCAGGACAUUUCAGGGAUCCGCGUGUUUGAUCUCACCCUGGGAGGCAAUUAGCGCUAAUGAGUCCUGUAUCCAGUGUCUACCUCUGAUUUGACUCCAAAGUAGAGCAGCUGAAAGGCCUCAAGCAGGUCGGCAAUUCCAGAGGGGG